Molecule: ribosomal RNA, 253 nt
Filed under: uncultured bacterium
Lineage: Bacteria
Description: partial 16S ribosomal RNA
Rfam family: Bacterial small subunit ribosomal RNA
Source: RNAcentral
UACGGAGGAUCCAAGCGUUAUCCGGAUUUAUUGGGUUUAAAGGGCGCGUAGGUGGUUUUUUAAGUCAGGGGUGAAAGACGGCGGCUUAACUGUCGCAGUGCCUUUGAUACUGAAGAACUUGAAUUAACUAGAGGUAGGCGGAAUGUGACAAGUAGCGGUGAAAUGCAUAGAUAUGUCACAGAACACCAAUUGCGAAGGCAGCUUACUAUGGUUGGAUUGACACUGGGGCACGAAAGCGUGGGGAUCAAACAGG